This 72-nucleotide transfer RNA is filed under the name Camelus dromedarius (Arabian camel). It matches the Rfam family "tRNA". From Rfam's summary of the family: Transfer RNA (tRNA) molecules are approximately 80 nucleotides in length. Their secondary structure includes four short double-helical elements and three loops (D, anti-codon, and T loops). Further hydrogen bonds mediate the characteristic L-shaped molecular structure. tRNAs have two regions of fundamental functional importance: the anti-codon, which is responsible for specific mRNA codon recognition, and the 3' end, to which the tRNAs corresponding amino acid is attached (by aminoacyl-tRNA synthetases). tRNAs cope with the degeneracy of the genetic code in two manners: having more than one tRNA (with a specific anti-codon) for a particular amino acid; and 'wobble' base-pairing, i.e. permitting non-standard base-pairing at the 3rd anti-codon position. Lineage: Eukaryota; Metazoa; Chordata; Mammalia; Artiodactyla; Camelidae. The record is from Rfam by way of RNAcentral. RNAcentral also lists the same sequence under 1 other name.
GUGGGUACAGCUCAGUGGUAGAGCGUGUGCUUCGCAUGCAUGAGGUCCUGGGUUCAAUCUCCAGUACCCACA